AAUUCCUGCUGUGCGAGUAAAGC
Molecule: non-coding RNA, 23 nt
Filed under: Cricetulus griseus (Chinese hamster)
Lineage: Eukaryota; Metazoa; Chordata; Mammalia; Rodentia; Cricetidae
Source: RNAcentral